UUCCAGACUCCUACGGGAGGCAGCAGUGAGGAAUAUUGGUCAAUGGGCGAGAGCCUGAACCAGCCAAGUCGCGUGAAGGAUGACGGCCCUACGGGUUGUAAACUUCUUUUGUCAGGGAGCAAUUGAGUCCACGUGUGGGCUUAGCGAGAGUACCUGAAGAAAAAGCAUCGGCUAACUCCGUGCCAGCAGCCGCGGUAAUACGGAGGAUGCGAGCGUUAUCCGGAUUUAUUGGGUUUAAAGGGUGCGUAGGCGGAAUAUCAAGUCAGCGGUAAAAAUUCGGGGCUCAACCCCGUCGUGCCGUUGAAACUGAUGUUCUUGAGUGGGCGAGAAGUAUGCGGAAUGCGUGGUGUAGCGGUGAAAUGCAUAGAUAUCACGCAGAACUCCGAUUGCGAAGGCAGCAUGCCGGCUCCACACUGACGCUGAGGCACGAAAGCGUGGGUAUCGAACAGGAUUAGAUACCCCAGUA
Molecule: ribosomal RNA, 466 nt
Filed under: uncultured bacterium
Lineage: Bacteria
Description: bacterial SSU rRNA
Rfam family: Bacterial small subunit ribosomal RNA
Source: RNAcentral